Unclassified non-coding RNA from Bos indicus x Bos taurus (hybrid cattle), 104 nucleotides. Its record names the gene 7SK. It matches the Rfam family "7SK RNA". Rfam says of the family: 7SK was discovered as an abundant small nuclear RNA in the mid-70s but a possible function has only recently been suggested. Two independent studies have found that 7SK RNA binds the CDK9/cyclin T complex (known as elongation factor P-TEFb). The record is from Ensembl. Lineage: Eukaryota; Metazoa; Chordata; Mammalia; Artiodactyla; Bovidae.
AGGAAGAGAGGGAUCUGUCUAUGACAGCUGUCAUUUCAUUGAUUUUUGAGGUUAAUUUGGCUGAUGUGACUGGACAGUUGUCACACAUCAUCCUCACUCACUCU